AUCCUUUUGUAGUUCAUAACAGUGAUUACUGGGUUUUCACGUUCGUCUGCGAGAUGUGCCUUUCUUUUUUUUUUGUU
Pan troglodytes (chimpanzee) is the source of this 77-nucleotide small nucleolar RNA. It matches the Rfam family "Small nucleolar RNA U13". The record is from Rfam. Lineage: Eukaryota; Metazoa; Chordata; Mammalia; Primates; Hominidae.